UUUAAAGAGAACUUUCGCAUGAACCGAAGUUCCUUUGAUAAAUUAUGUGACAUCCCCCGCCCGUUACAAAAAAUGGAUACAAAUUACCGAAAAGCUAUUCCUAUCGAGAAAAGAGUGGCUAUAACAUUAUUUGCUUUAGGGUCAUCUGCAGAGUAUCGUAGUAUCGCCAACAUGUUCGGUGUAGGAAAAUCUACGGUUUGCGAAAUUUUACUGGAAUUUUGCACCGAAAUCUGGAGAUUACUGCAGCCAUCCUGUUUUAAAAUGUUGCCUCUAAACAGAGAAAAUAUAACCGAAUUGGUGACUGGUUUCGAGGUAAUUGGAUUCCCACAAUGCUUAGGAGCAAUUGACGGAUGCCACAUUGAGAUUCAUCCAUCAUCUGAAGAAGCUGUUGAUUAUUAUAAUUAUAAAGGAUGGUAUUCCACCGUUUUAAUGGCAUUAGUUGAUGCUAAAUACCGUUUUACUUACAUAAACGUAGGAAGUCCCGGGCGAA
This is a long non-coding RNA of Bactrocera neohumeralis, 490 nucleotides long. RefSeq lists it as uncharacterized. The transcript has 3 exons. NCBI's taxonomy places the organism in Eukaryota, Metazoa, Arthropoda, Insecta, Diptera, Tephritidae. The record is from RefSeq and is a predicted model, not a curated record.